UAUUAUUAAUUGCCCUUUUGUUCCUGUCAAACAUUGUGUUAAUUGUUAACAUCUACUCAUAUUUGAUAUCUAGACUCAACUUCAGGGAUUGGAGCAGAAAACUACAAAAAAGGAGGGACUUGCUCCAUAAGUGGGAGACUUCAAAAAAGAAAAAAAGCUCCAUGGACCUGGCCCACAAAGAGAGGAAGAAAUGGAUUUCCUUUUGCUCUUGGCCGAGAGUCCUACUAGCAAGAGGAAACAAGAGAAAAUUGGGGGAGCCUCACUUUUAGACUUUUGCUCUCAAAUUCGGCAGGGCCCAUCUUUUGUACUUAGCUUUCUCAAUUCGGUGGGGGACCACGGACGAGUGGAGCAUUAGUCACUUUUGGCUUUUAAGGACAAGCGUACAGAGGCUUGGGAGCUUAGUUCUUUUUAGCAUAGUUUUUAGUUUUCUUUCUGUCCUUGUCAGGCGCAUGCCUACUGUUCGACAAUAUUCCUCAACGGGAAAAACAUCUUUUAUUUCUCGCUUUCUAGUGAAAACUUGAUGCAUUUGCAAUCAAUUAAUUUGCGUAGAGAUUUAAUUAUGCGGUGAGGCUAAGCCUUUCAUCUAGUCAAGGAUCAACUCAACGGCGCAGUCCCGAAUAUCUGUGAGAUCUAAUUAGUUUUCACGCGUUCCUUAAUUUGUUAAUAUUUGCACGUUGUCUAUUUGAAUUUUCAUGGGAUUAUUUUGUUAAUUGGAUGUCAAGGGCCCGAUGUUCAAUGUGACUCAUUAAUCUCCUGCCAAAUUAUUUAAUUAAAUCCGUAAUUGUUUGAUUGAUUAAUAUUAGUGGCAACUGGCGUGUUUGCACACUAAGGGAAUGUGCAAUCUAAUUUAAAUAACCCUCGUAGCGUGUUAUUGAUUAGAGUUAGGUUUUUCUAGUUCUUAAUGUAAUUGAGAAAUUAAUUCCUAUGGUCGUACUUAGGAGUAUUUUCUGGUUAGAAGUAAUCAAUGGUCGUACCUUGGUUAUCAAUAAAUUAAGGAAAAAUUGGUCGUUAGAGUUCGUCGGCAACUAUAACUGGCCUAUUAAUAAGUUAAGCGAACCUUCCUUGCAUCAAUGAUCGGGUGAGUGGACUGUACCUGAGUAGUUGUAUUCUUGACUAAAAUUUAUCUUUUCUUGAUUUAAUUCCUGUUAUAUUCGUGCUAGUUAAUUAUUUAUUUAUUUUUAGUUGAAUUGCUUAAUUGUUUUUAGUUCCACUCCGAUAAAAUCCCCCUUUACCAAUUAGAAUUUCAAAGAAACAAACAUCCUCAGUCCCUGAGGAGACGACCCUGCUUGCCACUGUCUACUAUUUAGUAAUUGUCGUCAACUAAUUAAUUCUAGUAUAUCGGAUUAAGCAAACUCUUCGGGAACAUGGUGAAUCAAGUAACCCAUUGCACACCUAGAGUCCCUGCUCCAGUACCUAACAUCAAUUAUUGACUGCCUUUAGUGGUAGUUAGGUUCUAUUUUUAUUAUUGCACAGGCUCGACACCUGUCAAAAGGACAAAAAGUUUUAGUAAUUUUAGGGCAAAUUACAUAUAACCCUCUAUAAUUUUCUAUAAUAACAGAUGAUCUUCCUAAGGUAAACUCCUUGCGGUUUUAUGUAAAGUAGAAAAUGGAUGAAAUGCACAAUUAAUUACAGUAAUUAUAUCAGAUGCUCUCUAGGUGUGCGUAUGAUGAAACCAUAAUAUCCAUUCAAUCCCAUUAAAAAAAGAUAAAAUGCCUUCUACUAAAUACGGUCAUAUCUUUAGUUGUUUAAUAAAGUAAGAAGAUUUCAUAAAUGUUUAGUAUGUCAUUUAAUAUUCAAGUUAUUAGAAGAGGCCAGAGCUAGUAAACUUUUAUUUCUUCCCUUUUAUAUGACAAGACUUAGUUAUACACUAGAAUUUUGCCCAUGCCUUAGCACACUUUUUUUAUUUAUUGUGAAUUUAUACAAAUCUGAAUAAUUUAAAUACAAAAAUUAACAACAAUCCUAUAUGUUCAUUCAUAUUAACUUUAAAAUUAAUGUAUUCUAAAUGUUCAAUUAUUUACUAAAUUUUAAAAAUUUAUUUAUAUACUUUCUCUAUAAUAUGAUAGUAUAAAUCAAAUAAUGUACAUCAUAUCAAAACCUUGGUAGAUAUUCUUUUUUUUUCUUAUAAACAUUCUCUUAGAUAAUUUAAAUUUUUAUAAUGGCCAUAAGUCUAGAACCAUAAAUUCAUAUUUAAUUAAGUACAAAAGAUUCAGUAAUCUAUUUUUCUUCAUCAAUAAAUAUUCAAUUUCGAACAAUAUUGAAAAAUCUAUCAGUAUAGUAGUUAAUUUUUUUUUACACUAAAUUAAUUCAAAAUUAAGGAACAGAUGAUAAAAAAUUUGAAUACUAAUCAAGUGAUGAAAUGAAGUAAUUUAUAAGAUAUGUAAGAUUUCAACAAUUGUGAUUUGAAAAUUUUUUUACUAUAAUUCUAUGUAAUCCAAAUACGAUUCAAUAUGUGUAAAACCCAUGCGAUCCAUAACCUAUUAAUUCUCUUCAAAUAGAAAAUGCCAUGUAGGAGUGAAAAAUAACUCUGAUUAAAAUAGAUUGACAAAUAGAUCAUUCAAUUAUAAUCUCAUAAUUUAUAUGUUGUUAUCGUACUAUAUAUCAAGCUAAUGUAUGUAUUUUAUUGUGUAAAAGCUUAUGUUCAUCUUCUUCUUUUUUUUGUUAAAGGAGAGAUCUUGAACCCAUGAUGUUUUACUUACAAUCCUUCCCCUCUUACCACUGAACCCAACCCUCCCCCAAACUUAUGUCCAUCUUUUGUUAUUGUCAUCAAUAAAUUGGCUUCCAAAAUCAGGAGAAUAAUAUGAAAAUUGGUAUUCAUUAAUUUGGAUGGAGAAAAUUCCUAAUACCUUUAUAGUUUGUUUUUUCAUAAAUAAAAAAGAUUUGUUAAUGAGAUUGCUGGAAAUAGUUAAAACCAAUUUAUUUAACAAAGUCAAGAGGAAUGUUUUGUAAAGAGUCUCCACAAUUGGCAGGUUUUACAUAAACCUAAUACCUUCGUGGUUGAUUUGGCGAAAUCGAAAUAUUAGAGAGGCAAUUGCAAGAUUGCAGCGACAUGGACUAGAAUUCAAGAUUGCAAGAGAAAAAUAAAAAUAAUCACAUAGUUUCCUUUUCUCUCUUACAGUGAACAUGGCCAUGGACUAGAAUUCAAGAACCGCUUAAACCCAGCACUAGUUUAAAAAGCCCAGCAAUGGCCAAGCAACAACCUGGACUGCUUAAAACAACCCGGACUGCUGAAAACAUUUGUAGUCCAGUUUCGAGGUCAGAAGGCAUCUAUGUAUACAUUAAUUUGAACUUUUGUUGGUCUUGACAUAUCAGAAAAUCAAGAAAACAAAAUAUAAACAAAAGAAUAGAAACCGAAAAAAAAAUCCUUGCAAUCUAGCAAGUUAAUGGAGCAAGUAACCACUGGGGGUGUACUUAGUGAUCAGAUGAGAAUUUUUAAAAUCUUUUCCACUAUCAAGUUCAAUGUUCAAAUCCUGUGCCUGGUAAUAAGGGCAAUAGUUGGGGGCGGAAUAGCAUGGGGAGGGUGGAAAAGUUUGAGAAAAAAAAAAGGUUAAUGGAGCACAUUUUAAAGGUGAAACUUGUUUAAAAGAAAAAAAGUGUAAAAUUUUGCAAAUGUCAACAAGAUCUUCAAUUCUAGUUACUACUCAUGCUCUCCCAUCUUCUCAAUCUGGUACCAGGACACAUGUUAUGGCAUUUAGUAAUUGAUCUAACUUUUACAAUGUGACAAACCUUUUCAUCUAAUCAACAAAAGAUAUUUGAUGUGUCGUGUUUCAUAUAUUUUUAUGUUCCUCUAUCACUAUGAUUUUAUGCAUGUAUUAUUUUUAAAAAGUGCUAUUUAGAUAUGUUUUUAUGGUUGGACAGGGUAGAAAGCACUUGCGGUAAAAAUGAUGCAAAAAGAGAUCAAUUAGCAGGAAAAUAUUGAGUCCAAAAAGUCAGCAGCUAAUGAGUGAUAGGAUGGGGGCCAAACACAACACCCAUUUGACUUUAAAGCGGAUUUCAAUUAAAUUGACAAGUUAAGUUAUGAUGGGCGCCUGUCUCACAAUCCAACUCAAGAACCGACAUGUACUAAACAAAUGACUUCUAAUUUAAGUUGACUACUUGAUUCUACCCUAAAAACCCUACUGGAGGGACCUUAUAAGUACACGAGUAAGAGCCGUUAGAAAGGGCUGUCAAAAGGAGAAGCAACAAAUUUUUCUCUAUAAUUUUUCGUUUGCUAGAAUUAGCGUAGUAUAUUUUAUGAAUUAGUUUUCUUUAUUCACUUAUGAGCAUCUCUCUUACUCUUGCAAUGAUGAUGUCUUGCUAGUUCUUUUAUUCAAGCCAAGGAAAGAAGUGAUGGCUCCUAGUAUUGUGAAAUCGAUUUGAUCUUUCCAACUUUUAAUUAACUAUCUGCAAUUCCUUGAUCUUGAUUUGUGUUUAUGCAUGUAUAGUGGAGUAAGUCGCGAAUUAUUCUCUAUAUGUGUCAUAUUCAUGCCAAAGUACUAAUUGUGAUAUGUAAUUGUUAUGUUUUAGUAUUUCAUGUAGAAAAUAAGACUAGUAAUUGAUUGUCCUCUUUUAUGAACCCUUAGAGGGAAUUGUGGUGUUGAUUAGAUGAUUGCGUGUGUCACGGGUUGUCAUCAAUUUCAGCUGAUUCUUAGUGCCUAAAGCUACUAUCGGAUUAAUUUGGAAUUGCGUUAAUACCUAAAUAGUUUGAUAAUAAGAAUACAACUACAGUGUAUCAUUCUAAUUGUUGACUGUAGAGAAUCUACGAGUUAUUACUAAUUCAGGGUAACUUAGGCCGAAUGGUUGAUUAAAGGUGACAAAUGUCAAGACUGUGCAAUAAUAAAAACCUAACUACCACAAAAAACGUGUAAUAAUAAAAAUCUAACUACCACAAAAAACAAUCAACAAUCAAUUCCAGGUACUGGAGCAGGGACUCUGGAUGUGCAAUGAGUUACUUGAUUCACCCUGGUUCCGAAGAGUUUGCUUAAUUCGAUAUAUCAGAAUUAAUUAACUGACAAAAUUUACUAACUAGUAGACAGUGGCAAGCAGGGUCGAAUCCACAGGCACUAGGGAUAAUUCGUUUCUUCUAGAGUUCAGAGCAUGAGGGGGUUUUUGGAAAAUAUAAAAUAACUAAUUAACCAACUAAUGAAACAACUACUAGAAAUAAACAGAAAUUAAUCAAUAACCAAUACGACUCUAGCCAAAGGUGCAACUUUUCAGACACAGUCCAUUCAACUGAUCAUUGAUGCAAAGAUAAUUCAAUUACUCAUUACUAGAUUGGUUAUAGUUGUCAUACACGCGAUAAACAACCAACAUUUCCUUACUUUUUCGAUAGUCAAGGUACGACCGUUAACUAUUUCUCUAACCAAGAAAUAACCCUAGGUACGACCAUAAAAUUUAAUUCCUCGAUUGCAUUAAGAAUUAGAAAAGUCCAACCCUAACCAACAAACACGCUACAAGAGUUUGUUUAAUUUAGAUCAUACGUUUCCCUAACAUGAAACCAAUCACGCUAGUCGUCACUGGUGUUAAUGAAUUGAACAAUUACGGAUUCAAUCACUUAAUCUGAUAGUAGAUUAUUAGGUUAAUCCGAAUAUCGGGCCCUUGACAUUCAAAUAACAUAAUAAUCAUAAAAAAUUAAAUCAGAAAACGUACAAAUACCAAUAAAUAAAAGAAAUAAGUAAAAUAAUUCGAUCUCACAGAUAUUUGGAACCGCGUCUUUAAAUUAACCCUUGACUAGAAAAGAAACUUAGUUGCGCAUGGCCAAUUGAAGCAAUUCACACCAUUUUUCCAAAGCCAGCGGCAUAAGUCUUUGACAAGAGAAAUACUAGAGAAAACAAAAGACUCCAAGGAAGAGCCCUGCGGCUCCCCUCUUCGUAUCCUUCAUGCGGGAUCCGGCUAUUUUGAUUUCCUAGGCGAGUUAGCCAUGAAUUGGACGAGUCUGUGAUCUUAGGAGCUAACCGGGAGAGAAAUGUCUCGACACUUAGCCACUAAAUCUUGAUUUUGGUAUAAGCACAGCUUGGCAAUAGAUGACGUGAGAGCUGACCAUGGUUGAGUUUAGUUGUCCCCAUGCUUGAGGGCAAGUAUGAUUCAGGUAUGGGGGGAAUUGAUAGGGUAUUAAUUGUUAGCAAUUUUAUUAUUAAUUGCCCUUUUGUUCCUGUCAAACAUUGUGUUAAUUGUUAACAUCUACUCAUAUUUGAUAUCUAGACUCAACUUCAGGGAUUGGAGCAGAAAACUACAAAAAAGGAGGGACUUGCUCCAUAAGUGGGAGACUUCAAAAAAGAAAAAAAGCUCCAUGGACCUGGCCCACAAAGAGAGGAAGAAAUGGAUUUCCUUUUGCUCUUGGCCGAGAGUCCUACUAGCAAGAGGAAACAAGAGAAAAUUGGGGGAGCCUCACUUUUAGACUUUUGCUCUCAAAUUCGGCAGGGCCCAUCUUUUGUACUUAGCUUUCUCAAUUCGGUGGGGGACCACGGACGAGUGGAGCAUUAGUCACUUUUGGCUUUUAAGGACAAGCGUACAGAGGCUUGGGAGCUUAGUUCUUUUUAGCAU
RNAcentral lists this long non-coding RNA (6519 nucleotides) under Coffea arabica (coffee). RNAcentral's name for it is "long non-coding RNA (CARA_LNC005569)". Lineage: Eukaryota; Viridiplantae; Streptophyta; Magnoliopsida; Gentianales; Rubiaceae. The record is from RNAcentral.